Molecule: transfer RNA, 78 nt
Rfam family: tRNA
About the family: Transfer RNA (tRNA) molecules are approximately 80 nucleotides in length.
GGCGGAGUAGCUCAGCUUGGUUAGAGCAGAGGAAUCAUAAUCCUUGUGUCGGGGGUUCAAGUCCCUCCUUCGCCACCA